Octodon degus (degu) is the source of this 106-nucleotide small nuclear RNA. NCBI's taxonomy places the organism in Eukaryota, Metazoa, Chordata, Mammalia, Rodentia, Octodontidae. The record is from Ensembl.
GUGCUUGCUUCGGCAGCACAUAUACUAAAAUUGAAAUGAUACAAGAAGAUUAGCAUGGCCCCUGCACAAGGAUAGCAUGCAAAUUCUCGAAGCGUUCCAUAUUUUU